GCUUUAAAAAUACGUAUUCAAGUUUAACAGUUGUUUCAUUUCCCUGAAUGAUUGGUUUCUUAAAGAAGCUCUUAAUCUGAGUCUUACUGUGUCCUGACUACAGGGAUGUGAGUCCCUUAGUAAAUAAAUAGGCUCUGUAUGUCCUAAUGUGUGGAAUAUUGACCUCUACUCUUCCCAGUCGUGUAGGAGAGCAGGAUGGUGGAGAGGACUUAUGAGGGAAGUCUACCACAUUCAUUUAGGUGACAAACUUCCCCCUCACAAAUAGCUUCCACGUUCUCUGCCCACACAGCAAGCGUCUUCUUUUGAGUCAGGAGUAAUGUAACAUUUGCUCACUUCCACACAUUUAAAUAACCAGUUCAUAAAAGCCUUAUUGAUUGUUUAAACAUACUUAAAAAAAAAAGAUUUUUAGUUGUGAAAUUUCAUAUUUUGCUUCAGCCUUUCAAUGACUGUAUUUAGUCAAAACAUUAAUUUUUUGAAUGUUUUAAUUGGAAAUGAAAGUAUACAAAUAAAAGCCAAACGUAUAUGUCACAGCAUUACUAAGAAUAGGAAAAUUUUGGAUAUAAAAAGAAGUUACGACAAAUUUCAUUACGUUUGCAACAAUUUGCUAUUAAUCAGCUUCGAAUUAUAAAUACUCAUCUUAUAUUAGUGAAAGAACUAACAUUCUGGGUGUUUUCAAUGUUGACUAGCCAAUAGUGUAUCAUAUUUAUAGUUUAUUUUCUUAAUGCAUGCCUGUAGCCUGGGAAAACAAGAUCCUUAAUGAAUAUGACUACUCUGAGUUCCCGUUGUGGAGCAGUGGUUAACGAAUCCGACUAGGAACCAUGAGGUUGCGGGUUUGGUCCCUGCCCUUGCUCAGUGGGUUGACGAUCCGGCGUUGCCGUGAGCUGUGGUGUAGGUUGCAGACGCGGCUCGGAUCCCGCGUUGCUGUGGCUCUGUCGUAGGCCAGUGGCUACAGCUCCGAUUUGACCCCCAGCCUGGGAACCUCCAUAUGCCACGGGAGCAGCCCAAGAAAU
Molecule: long non-coding RNA, 1010 nt
Filed under: Sus scrofa (pig)
Lineage: Eukaryota; Metazoa; Chordata; Mammalia; Artiodactyla; Suidae
Description: lncRNA (ENSSSCG00045016444.1)
Source: RNAcentral